GAAAGGUGUGUGAGGGGAAGGGAAGGAGGGGUGUGAGGGGAAGGGAACGUAACAAUAGAGGCUGUAAAUCCAUGUAUUUUGAUACUUCCUCUGAAUUUAUUUCCCUCCCUAUUCUUGUAUCAUUGGUAAAUUUCCUAAUGAUGCUGUUCAUUCAUAAGUCUAAGUCGAUUUUAUACAUAUAAUAAACAAUAGAAGCCUCAGUGGUACCUUGUGGUACUUCACUUCCAAUUUUUCCCCACUCCUAUCAAGGCUCCAAAUCCUCGGUUAUCUUAACAAUUUGUUUCCUGUAUGGCAAGUAUGCCUUCAUCCAGUUUGAGAGGUCCUCUCUCAUACCCUGUGGAUCUACUUGCCUUGUAAAUCUUUCAAGCUGAAGUGUUUAAAGCUUCGCUAAAAUCUGGGUUUAUAAUAUUGCAUCCGUAAUCCAUUCUUCACGAAAUGACCUUUGUCAGGGAUAUCAAAUGUUUAUAUUGAAUUCUUACGUAAAUACCAACUCCUCUAUGGGUUACAACACACUGGAACCUAUAAAGAUACUGUUUCAUUGUUCUCAUACCAGUCUCCAGCUGCCUACAUAACACUCCCGCAUGACAUAUUACACAAUAAUAAUCAUUAUCACUAUUUAUAAAAACUUCAAAUAUUAGUUUCAACCUCACAUCUUCAAGUUCAAGUAAGUUUAUUGAGACAAUAAGAUACAUCUCAAAAAGGAUAGAGUAGCUUAGGCUAUUUCUAUCCUCCUCUUCACAUCUUUAUGAACAUGAUAAUGUUGAUAUCCUUGCUAAGCUUGCAGCAAAUAAAAAUAAUGCUGAACAUAAUCUUGGGCUAUCAAAUAGAACCCUAAAACGUGUCAAUAGACGAGAACUAUUAGAUAAAUUUGAGGAAAGCAAAAGAGUGCACACAGGAACUAGCAGAUCCAUUGAUUAUCACUGCAAUGUGUCAAACAAAACAUAGCAUUUGUAUGGGGCAAGUAACAAAGUAGGAUGACAGAUGUCACAUCUCGAAUACUACUUUGCUACAAUUAAGUGUAUUUGACAGUUGAGCUUGUAUGGGAAUCUAGAUGAAGAUGGCAUACUUUAAAAAUAUGUAAUAAAUUUAAACCGGUUCGGUUUCAAACUUUUUUGACUAGUUGUAUAUGAAAUUGGCUUCACCUGGUCCAAGUCUCAGCAUCGUAGCAUAAGUAGGGAGAAAAAUAUUGAAUUAUGUGUCAAAAAAUUUCCAAAAUGUUCAAAAAUUAACAUCAAACACAAGUGUCAACUGAAAUCAUGUCUAUGACUCUAAGCUAUCACAAUAUCAUAUAAUAAACUAUUUUAAUAAUUAGUUUUAUCCCUCAAAAAUAGCUAAACAAAAAUUAUUACAAUUUGUUUUAUUUUUUCUUUAAUUUUUUCUCAUUUUUUAUCGGCCGAUUUGCAUGAAACUUAUGCAUCUUACUGAACGUAUGCCUGUAUGUAAGGGUACUAAUUUUGGAGUAAAUUGGUUGAUGUCAACCUCAGCCACAGGUGGCAGAAUCUUUGACUUCAUUUAUAGUCAAGUAACAUAAAAGUGCUUCUACUC
Non-coding RNA from Procambarus clarkii (red swamp crayfish), 1545 nucleotides. Lineage: Eukaryota; Metazoa; Arthropoda; Malacostraca; Decapoda; Cambaridae. The record is from RefSeq and is a predicted model, not a curated record.